This is a long non-coding RNA of Cyprinus carpio (common carp), 573 nucleotides long. RefSeq lists it as uncharacterized. The transcript has 2 exons. The record is from RefSeq and is a predicted model, not a curated record. NCBI's taxonomy places the organism in Eukaryota, Metazoa, Chordata, Actinopteri, Cypriniformes, Cyprinidae.
CUGGAGUUUAUAAACUAUUGGAUCAUCAGCAGCCGAGAGACCAAAUACAAGAGAUUCAAAGUUACAAUCCGUGGGAGUGAAAGAAGUCCAGAUGCGGGGCCUGAGCAGGAGGGGACCCCCUUAAUGCAAAUAUAAAAAAUAUGACAGUAAUAGUAACUGUGAAUUCAGUCAGUAUUGCACAUUUUUAUAUGAUAUUACAUAUCCAAUGAGAGUGAUUGUUUUCUUAAACUAUUUAACUUUGGUGCUUGUGGAAAAAAAAAGGUGACAUAUAACAGUAUUUGGUUCAACGAAUUUACUUUACUACAUCAGUUUGUUAGUAAAUUAACUUUAUACCGUUGUAUACGGAAGUACUGUGUUGUUAUUUGUUACUGUCUGUCCUUUAUAAGAGAACACUAUAUUUAUUAUUGGCUGAAUGAGCCCUGACUGAUUGUUCUCUUUAAAUCAUCUUGGUUUUUGUAUUCCACUACUUUUAUUGUAUUGUGCCUGGAAUAAUUGCUUUUGAUUGUUGUAUUCUCAUCUGUAAGUCAUUUAGAUAAAAAUUAUCUGCUCAAUAAAUAAAAGGUCACAUACAGA